RNAcentral lists this ribosomal RNA (253 nucleotides) under uncultured prokaryote. RNAcentral describes it as "partial 16S ribosomal RNA". It matches the Rfam family "Bacterial small subunit ribosomal RNA", at positions 524 to 776 of the family's 1533-position model. The record is from RNAcentral.
UACGUAGGGGGCGAGCGUUAUCCGGAGUUACUGGGCGUAAAGCGCACGCAGGCGGUCGGGCAAGUUUGGGGUGACAGCUCCCGGCUCAACUGGGAGAGCGCCUUGAAGACUGCGCGACUUGAGGGCCACAGAGGGACACGGAAUUCCGGGUGGAGCGGUGAAAUGCGUAGAUAUCCGGAGGAACACCAAAGGCGAAGGCAGUGUCCUGGGUGGUACCUGACGCUCAGGUGCGAAAGCUAGGGGAGCGAACGGG